RNAcentral lists this non-coding RNA (62 nucleotides) under Alexandrium minutum. Lineage: Eukaryota; Dinophyceae; Gonyaulacales; Pyrocystaceae. The record is from RNAcentral.
UACUUUUUUUUUUUUUUUUUUUUUUUUUUUUUUUUUUUUUUUUUUUUUUUCACCAAUGAGGG